Molecule: small RNA, 256 nt
Filed under: Nomascus leucogenys (northern white-cheeked gibbon)
Lineage: Eukaryota; Metazoa; Chordata; Mammalia; Primates; Hylobatidae
Description: 7SK RNA (ENSNLEG00000029388.1)
Rfam family: 7SK RNA (bases 1-189)
About the family: 7SK was discovered as an abundant small nuclear RNA in the mid-70s but a possible function has only recently been suggested. Two independent studies have found that 7SK RNA binds the CDK9/cyclin T complex (known as elongation factor P-TEFb).
Source: RNAcentral
GGAUGUGAGGGUGCUCUGGCUAUGACAUCAUCACCUGAUUGAUCAUCAUGAUUGAAUUGGCCAAUGUGGCUGGCCAGGCAGGUGUCCCUUUCCUCACUCACUGCUCCAUGUUCAUUUCUCCAGAAGCUGUGCGCUCAGUUAAAGAGGAUGACCUUCCCUGUAGAGGAUGACCUUCCUUGAUAGAGGAUGACCUUCCCUGAUCGAGGAUGACCUUCCCUGUAGAGGAUGACCUUCCCUGUAGAGGAUGACCUUCCUU